RNAcentral lists this ribosomal RNA (559 nucleotides) under Verticillium dahliae. RNAcentral's name for it is "eukaryotic LSU rRNA". The stretch from base 173 to 326 matches the Rfam family "5.8S ribosomal RNA". The record is from RNAcentral. Lineage: Eukaryota; Fungi; Ascomycota; Sordariomycetes; Glomerellales; Plectosphaerellaceae. RNAcentral also lists the same sequence under 1 other name.
UCCGUAGGUGAACCUGCGGAGGGAUCAUUACCGAGUACUAUAACUCAUAACCCUUUGUGAACCUUCAUACCUGUUGCUUCGGCGGCGCGCCUCCCGGGGCGUGCCCGCCGGCAUUAUCAGAAUCUCUGUUCGAACCCGACGAUACUUCUGAGUGUUCUAAGCGAACUGUUAAAACUUUCAACAACGGAUCUCUUGGCUCCAGCAUCGAUGAAGAACGCAGCGAAACGCGAUAUGUAAUGUGAAUUGCAGAAUUCAGUGAAUCAUCGAAUCUUUGAACGCACAUGGCGCCUUCCAGUAUCCUGGGAGGCAUGCCUGUCCGAGCGUCGUUUCAACCCUCGAGCCCCCGUGGCCCGGCGUUGGGGACCUGCCCAGGCAGUCCCCGAAAACCAGUGGCGGACCCGACGGGCCCUUCCUUUGCGUAGUAACAUCUGCCUCGCAUCGGGAGCCCCCGGGCUAUCCGGCCUCUAAACCCCCCUCAAGCCCGCUCCGGCGGCACCAAGGUUGACCUCGGAUCAGGUAGGAAUACCCGCUGAACUUAAGCAUAUCAAUAAGCGGAGGA